Long non-coding RNA from Dermacentor albipictus, 648 nucleotides. RefSeq lists it as uncharacterized. Lineage: Eukaryota; Metazoa; Arthropoda; Arachnida; Ixodida; Ixodidae. The record is from RefSeq and is a predicted model, not a curated record.
CAGCCACAGCUCUCGCGCACCCCACAGCCCAGCGGGCGGGAAGGGGGACGCCGCUUCGGGACCGCACGAUAUGUCACAGACGUCCGUUGAAGCGAUGAUUGGACAGACAGCCUCGUGGCCACCUGGCUGACCGAGCUUCGUUCUGGUGCUCCGGGCAACUGCCUCGCCCGGCCAGUGGCGCGGCACCGACCGUGCUCCCGAAGAGUGGCUGCCACACACGUGCGAGACGGACAACCGGACGCUCCCGUCCGCAACUCGCGAGCACACUCACUCGCCGGGACACACGGGAGUGCGCGGCUGGAGUGCGGGACACCGGAGCCCCGCGGACGUCGGCGCGGAGGCUGCUGCCACUCGGCGACACCGUACGACGCCACGUCGAGAACGCGGAAUGGACGAGCAAUCUGGAAAACAGGCGCCAUUCCUGGCCCAGUAGAGGCGAGCCUGUCUCCGCCAAUUUGCUCGAAGGAUCUUGCACAGCCUCACAGGAUGGUUGAUCGAGGGACGGAAGCCGCCAAACAGUUAACUUGCCAAUGUCUAGGGGACUCGGCGCUCAGUGCUCGCCCCGAGCGGAAGUGCGCAACGAGAGCUCCGCCGAACUCUGAGAGCUCCCUGUCAUCGCCGGACGAACUUUGGCCCGCCGCACUGCGC